UAGCAUACUGAGUGGCAAACGGGUGAGUAUAAUGUGGGAAUCUGCCUUUUGGUUUGGAAUAACACGAGGAAACUUGUGCUAAUACCGAAUAAGCCCUUACGGGGAAAGUUUUAACGCCGAAAGAUGAGCCUGCACUUGAUUAGCUAGUUGGUAAGGUAAAGGCUUACCAAGGCUACGAUCAAUAGCUGUUCUUAGAGGAAGACCAGCCACAUUGGGACUGAGACACGGCCCAGACUCCUACGGGAGGCAGCAGUGGGGAAUCUUGCACAAUGGGGGAAACCCUGAUGCAGCGAUGCCGCGUGAGUGAAGAAGGCCUUUGGGUUGUAAAACUCUUUCGUCGGGGAAGAAAAUGACUGUACCCGAAUAAGAAGGUCCGGCUAACUUCGUGCCAGCAGCCGCGGUAAUACGAAGGGACCUAGCGUAGUUCGGAAUUACUGGGCUUAAAGAGCUCGUAGGUGGUUAAAAAAGUUGAUGGUGAAAUCCCAAGGCUCAACCUUGGAACUGCCAUCAAAACUUUUUAGCUAGAGUGUGAUAGAGGUAAGUGGAAUUUCUAGUGUAGAGGUGAAAUUCGUAGAUAUUAGAAAGAACACCAAAUGCGAAGGCAACUUACUGGGUCACUACUGACACUGAGGAGCGAAAGCAUGGGUAGCGAAGAGGAUUAGAUACCCUCGUAGUCCAUGCCGUAAACGAUGUGUGCUAGACGUUGGAAAUAUAUUUUUCAGUGUCGCAGCGAAAGCAUUAAGCACACCGCCUGGGGAGUACGACCGCAAGGUUAAAACUCAAAUGAAUUGACGGGGACCCGCACAAGCAGUGGAGCAUGUGGUUUAAUUCGAAGAUACGCGCAGAACCUUACCAACACUUGACAUGUUCGU
RNAcentral lists this ribosomal RNA (872 nucleotides) under uncultured marine bacterium. RNAcentral describes it as "bacterial SSU rRNA". It matches the Rfam family "Bacterial small subunit ribosomal RNA", at positions 84 to 993 of the family's 1533-position model. The record is from RNAcentral.